AAAAUUUUAAGUUAAUUAAACUAUAAACCUUCAAAGUUUAAUAUAUAUAUUAUUCUAAUAUAUAAAUUUUA
Molecule: transfer RNA, 71 nt
Filed under: Solenopsis geminata
Lineage: Eukaryota; Metazoa; Arthropoda; Insecta; Hymenoptera; Formicidae
Description: tRNA-Trp
Source: RNAcentral